GACGAACGCUGGCGGCGUGCCUAAUACAUGCAAGUUGAGCGAUGAAGAUUGGUGCUUGCACCAAUUUGAAGAGCAGCGAACGGGUGAGUAACGCGUGGGGAAUCUGCCUUUGAGCGGGGGACAACAUUUGGAAACGAAUGCUAUUACGCAAAAAAACUUUAAACAUAAGUUUUAAGUUUGAAAGAUGCAAUUGCAUCACUCAAAGAUGAUCCCGCGUUUUAUUAGCUAGUUGGGGAGGUAAAGGCCCACCAAGGCGAUGAUACAUAGCCGACCUGAGAGGGUGAUCGGCCACAUUGGGACUGAGACACGGCCCCAACUCCUACGGGAGGCAGCAGUAGGGAAUCUUCGGCCAUGGACGAAAGUCUGACCGAGCAACGCCGCGUGAGUGAAGAAGGUUUUCGGAUCGUAAAACUCUGUUGGUAGAGAAGAACGUUGGUGAGAGUGGAAAGCUCAUCAAGUGACGGUAACUACCCAGAAAGGGACGGCUAACUACGUG
Molecule: ribosomal RNA, 496 nt
Filed under: uncultured bacterium
Lineage: Bacteria
Description: partial 16S ribosomal RNA
Rfam family: Bacterial small subunit ribosomal RNA
Source: RNAcentral